RNAcentral lists this non-coding RNA (1028 nucleotides) under Exophiala aquamarina CBS 119918. RNAcentral's name for it is "Bacterial large subunit ribosomal RNA". It matches the Rfam family "Bacterial large subunit ribosomal RNA", at positions 1180 to 2362 of the family's 2925-position model. The record is from Rfam by way of RNAcentral. Lineage: Eukaryota; Fungi; Ascomycota; Eurotiomycetes; Chaetothyriales; Herpotrichiellaceae.
AAAAAAAAUGGAAAUAUACAGAGUAGUUUUUUAACUAACUUAAAAAAGUGAAUGAAAUGAAUAUUCCGCGAUUAAUCCAAGUGAUAAUGCUGAUAUGAGUAACGAUAAGAUGUAAUACAUCCGCCUUAAGCUUAUGGUAUUUAAUUAAAUUUACGGCUUCUAAGUAAAAAACGAUGAACUCGUUAUGAAAACAAGACUAAUUAAAAUUAAAUUAGUUCGGGAAAAAACAUAACAAAACAUAGUAAAUCAUAAAUAUUCUGAAUCUUAUGCGUGAAAUUUUUUUCAGUAUAUUUAUGGAAACCGUACCUAAAUACUAACACAAGUAAGCAAGUAGAAAAUACGAAGGCGUUUGAGUAAUCAAUCAUUAAGGAACUCGGCAAAUUUACUCACGUAACUUCGGGAUAAGGUGAGCCAUUCACAAUAGGAAUAUAAACUAAGAUUCUAAAAAUCUUAAAUAUAUUACAAAGUGAAUAGGAGGCAUAGAAUUGUGUUGUACGACUGUUUAUUUAAAACACAGCACUCUGCAAAGAUAGAUAUCUAAAUAUAGAGUGUGAAGUCUGCCCAGUGUCGGAAGGGUAACAGAUUUGCUUAAUUAAAAACUAGGUUUUGAAGAAAUCCCCGACAAACGGCGGCCUUACCGAUGAGGGUCCUAAGGUAGCGGAAUACCCUGGCCGUUAAAUGCGGUCUUGCAUGAAUGACGUAACGAUACAACAGCUGUCUCGAUGAUUGGCUCAGUGAAAUUGGAAUAGCAGUGCAGAUACUGUUUACCUCUAGAUAGACGAGAAGACCCUAUGCAGCUUUACUGUUACCAAUUGAGAUAUGGUUAUAAGAAUUACAAGUGUAUAAGGUAGUAGUACUUACAUUAAAUAAAUGUAAGUAAUACAACAAUGAGACACCUUUAUUUACUUUAUUACAUUCAAAUGAUUGGAAGACAGUUUAUGCGGGGCACAGAUCCCACAAAAAGUACCUGGGUAUAUCCAAAAUUCCAUUCGUAAAUAUGCAUGUUAUAUGCAUAAAUACUUAGAAAA